UAGCCUCCUGAGUAGCUAGGAAUAAAGGCAUUCACCACCACGCCAGCUAAUUUGUGUAUUUUUUUAAUACAGGUGGCGUUUUGCCAUGUUGCCCAGGCUGGUCUUGAACUCCUGACCUCAAAUGAUCCUCCCACCUCGGCCUCCCUAAGUGUUGGCAUUACAGGCAUAAGCCACCAUGCUUGGCCUGAUUCUGUUUUUUAACACAAUUCUUAUUACUUCUGUUUCAAUUUUACAAAGCCAUAGGUUUUUAAUCUGGGAAACCUUUGAGAAAACAUCCAGAUAAAUUUAUAAAUAGAAAAAUAAAUUCAGACACAUAUAAUUAAGUUUAUGAUCUAACAAGUGGGUGACAACCGAAAACUUUCCAAGUUCCAUAAACUGAAGUGAAAGGAUCACUUUCCUGAAAAUAUUACAAAGGCUUGAUAAUUACCUGGAUUGUACUAAAACCUACACAAUCUAGUAUAUUCUAUAGCAGCAAUUCAUAAAGACAGCUUCACUUACCAUGUAGAAUUUAUACAUACAUUAAAUUUAAGGAAUGCAUUACUUGCUAUUGGAGUAGGAUAAUAAACUCCCAGCAGAACUGAUUUUCAUGAAUGCCUAUUAAACUAUCAUUGAUGUAGAAAUUAAACAAUAUAUUAAGCUAUUCAGACCCAGAUUGUGAGAGACAGAGAAAAACUUCAAAAAAGUUCAGCUACCAAAUCCCUUCCUCAAUAGCUCUUUGAGUCUCAAGACAGUUUCAACCACACACAUCCUCAGAGUCUUAUGGUCCAAACAACAUUUGACUGCAGCUCUAAAGUAAGCAAACAUUUGAAAAGAAACUCAAAGAUCUAUACCUGUAGUUAUGGUCAAGGAAGUCCACCUACUGGUGGGUGAGCAUGGCAAGGAUAGGGACUAAGCCAAAUGAUGGGUUUACCAAAACAGAAACAAGAGAAGUCAUUGGAAGCACAGUCCAGGUUAUAACAGGAGCCCAGGCACUUGAUGUGGGAACCCUAUUUGUCUCAUUCAGCACCUAGAGUUUUAACGUCCUAUGAGGCACAGCUAAUGCCCUUCAUUAUUUUUUUGUAAUUGACUGCAUAGUUUAGAACUAUGCCUUGAAUUUAAUAUCUAUCUGUUGAAUAAAUGAAUUAAUAAUGAUGAAAAUCUGUCCACAGGUUAUGUGCAGUACUGAAGAGCAACUUCAGCUAUUGAGGUAUGUAUCAGAAGUCUUACUCUCCAAAAAGCCUCUGUUACACCUCAAUGCAACCUGCUGGCAGGCCAGCCUUAAGCCCAGCAGUCCAACCAUGCAUCUAAGCUGAGUUCUCAUCAGAGCCAACUUCAAUUAUAAACAACUGAGAUGAUGCCAGAGGCCAGAAUCCCUGAGAACCCAAUUUGCUGUCAUCACCACAGCUGAAACAAGGCGCUUGGCAUCUAGAAAAGCUGAUCUGUAGGAAAUUUCCAAUAGAGUUCAAGUUUUUCUAAGUUUAAAGUGUACAAUAUCAUCAAGGUGAGACACUCAAGAUAAAACUAGGCUUGUGUUUAAAUAUAAUAAAAAUAUUUGAAGAAUAGUAAGAGUGGUGACUACUUUUACACAGGAAUGUUUCAAAUAAAUUGUUUUUUUCUUGUGCCUUUUAAAUUUUGUGAUUUGUCAAUGAGAUGCUGACAUGUUUUUAAUGAAGCAUGCCUUGUAAAAUAAUAAGUGAAUGAAAACUACACAGUAAUAUUUACAUCAACAAAGCUAGAAGAAGACUGUAUGUCUCAAGAGGCUCCAUCAUCUACCCAGUGGCCACUUCACCAAAUUAAGAUCCAAAUACCAAAAAGAAAAGUAAUUAAAAUUUGUGUUGUAUGCCUUAUAAGACCAAACCUAUAAAAUGAGGGGAAACUUCACAAUUACUUGUAAUUUGCUCUGUGGAAUUGUAACAGAUGGAUUAUAAAGAUGAUUCCAUGAUAAACAUGUAAAUGUGGUUACUACCUUCUGUGCUUUCUUGGUUCAUAUUUUUAUUGUUUUUUUCUUUAUAAACAGAUAAUUCAUUCUUAUCUAUGGCAAUGCAAACUUUUCAGAUGUAUUGAAUAUGUCAUAGUGUUUUUCUAUUGUAGGCAUCUCUAAAAAAGUUAUAGAAAACAAACAGAGAAAAGUCUGGUGUUGGAAAGGAGAGAGAAAUAAAGCUUGUAAAGGAAUGAAGAUUAGAGCUUUCUGGAGAUAAAAAUUCUUAGAAGAUACAAAAGCUAGUUACUGAAUUAGAUGAAGGUUCUUUUUCAGUUUUUCCCAGUUGUUCACCUCUUAGAAGGCACAUAUUCACAGCAGAAAAGAAAAAUGUGUUAAAAAGAAAAUACCUCGGUGUAGUGAGACUGUAAUUUCAUGAGGGCAUUACUGAAGACUCACUUUUUCCAGCAUCACUCAGCAUGGUAUUAUGCAUGUGUGUAAUGUAAAGGAAAGUGAAUACGCAUUCUUGGAUGGGUGAUCAAAUCGUAAUUCCAGAAUAUAAUCAGAAGCUGAUUCAUUAUCCUCUUGAGAUUUCACAAUCUUUUCAUCAGGAAUUAAAAUUCAGAAGAGGGUAAAUGUA
This 2537-nucleotide long non-coding RNA is filed under the name Homo sapiens (human). Its description in RNAcentral is "long non-coding RNA NONHSAT198127". Lineage: Eukaryota; Metazoa; Chordata; Mammalia; Primates; Hominidae. The record is from RNAcentral.